Long non-coding RNA from Lolium rigidum, 1159 nucleotides. RefSeq lists it as uncharacterized. The transcript is spliced from 5 exons. NCBI's taxonomy places the organism in Eukaryota, Viridiplantae, Streptophyta, Magnoliopsida, Poales, Poaceae. The record is from RefSeq and is a predicted model, not a curated record.
AUAUUGCUCUCUUUUUCUCACACGGGAGCAGCUAUGAGGUGCAAGCGGCCAGGCCGCACAAGGAGCAGUGAGAAAUAAGAACGGUGGUGCUACAGAUCUCAACUGUUUGAUGGAAUGCCCCAUAGUGCUCGCGUCAUUGCACAGAUCUAUAUGAUGCUUGACCUGGAAGGGCAGCAUUAAAACAGUGAUGAUAGUACCUGUGGUGUAUGAAAUCAGCAGGCUAGACAAGAUCAUGGACUAUUCCAUUGUGAAUAAAAGGAAGAGCAUGUGCAAUGCAUAGUUAGACUGUCUUCCAAGAUAAGAGGUUGACAAGUAUGGGUAGUACACUGGUUGAUGGAAGUAUCUAAAGAUUCAGCCAUUCAAUCUUCUCUCCCCUGUAUGAGGGUCAGUUCUCUCAAUUUGACGUCUAUUUACAUCUGAUAAAGAUUCAUUUUUACCUAUCAUCUCUAUCUCUGUCCUGCUAAUGCAUGUUUUUCGUGGUCAAUGUACUCUACGGAGGAAUUGUGGCUUCGGUCAGAGGAUAAAGCCCAUGUUUUAAGGAAUUAUGAAUCUCACUUCAGCACUUUGAAUGCCUAUGGCAUGUGAACAAUAAAAUAUAUUGUUCCAAUAGUCACCUUCCAGGUGAUUUAUUUUCCUGAAUUGCAUGGGACUCAUGUCGUAGGUAAGGUUUGGACUUAUGUACCUUUAUGCUUUAUAAUUUUCUUCCUUUCCGUGUUGGUAGUUAAGAUUUCAAACUUACAGAACAUGUGCUGAAAAGAGCUGCACACAGCCCCAAUUAAGAAUCUGGGAUGUGCCAGCAAUGCUUAACAUGCCCUUUAUGUUUUAUAUAUGAUUGCACUAGACAUAAAUUUACGCCUGAAGCAAUCUUCACAUCUGCCACAUUAACAUGAAUCAUCUUCUAUACCAAGGAAAAAUAACGGCGUGCAGGUUAAAUUGACAAUCCAAACCGCUUUAGUCGAAGAUCUCUCGCGGAAAGGUUAUCAAUGGAAGAUCCCUUGUGCGCGUCACCCACGGAAGGGCCUACAUAUGGAAACACGGAAUAAUCUGUAUAGGUGUAUUUCAUCAAGGUUGACUGCGCAUUAUUGUGCUCAACAUACAUCAUCCUACCAGGUAAUCUACCGGUCUACGGCCUUGCUCCGUUCAUGGUCGUCGCUUCAGC